CGCUGAGUCACCGGGCAGCGGAGCAGCAGCCGCGGUUUGCACACUGCAGAGUGGGAAAGGCUCAGGACAGACCGGAUGGGAUCGAGCCAGGACUGAUUUGUCGUUCCGUCUGUGAACUGGACUCGCGCAGUUGCCAACCACCUGCAGUGGAAAUCUGGGUCAGAGUUCUCAGCAGUGCUGCAUCACACCUGGAUUUGCUCGUUCUGAUGUUCUACUUCCUGAAUUCCUAUUUAACAUUUGCUGCCUCUUGCGCCUCAUGCGUGACUGACACCGGGAGUGACUAAGGGACCA
Molecule: long non-coding RNA, 291 nt
Organism: Motacilla alba alba
Lineage: Eukaryota; Metazoa; Chordata; Aves; Passeriformes; Motacillidae
Exons: 3
Source: RefSeq, a predicted model, not a curated record